Small nuclear RNA from Jaculus jaculus (lesser Egyptian jerboa), 106 nucleotides. The record is from Ensembl. NCBI's taxonomy places the organism in Eukaryota, Metazoa, Chordata, Mammalia, Rodentia, Dipodidae.
GUGCUCGCUUCAGCAGCUCAUGUACUAAAAGUGGAACAAGACAGAGAAGAUAAGCAUGACCCUGCUCAAGGAUGACAUGCAAAUUCAUGAAGCGAUCCAUAUUUUU